UUGAGAAAUGAAUGGUAUGUUCUUUUGUAUCAAUUAAUAACCAAGCCUGUUUACCUUGGAAAUAAGUUCUCGAGCUGAUUCAAGUAAUAUUUGUAUUCCAAGAGUUGCCAUGACGGAUGCAAACACGACGAUUCCCUGCAUAAAUCUGAAAGGGAAUCUAGUGUUGAAGCUAUAACUGCAAGUGAUCUGCUCUCAACUGAAGCAUAUACUUUCGCAACGAAGAUCACCAUGUUAGCUAUGUUGGAUGCAUAUAUUGCCAGUCUCUCACGGCAAGCAGAACUCGUCCAUGUUCAGUCGCCACGAGGGAAUCUUCGUCACCAUUCCAUCUGUUCCAGCAGCCACACCCUCCGGUGACAA
Non-coding RNA from Cucurbita pepo subsp. pepo (vegetable marrow), 357 nucleotides. Lineage: Eukaryota; Viridiplantae; Streptophyta; Magnoliopsida; Cucurbitales; Cucurbitaceae. The record is from RefSeq and is a predicted model, not a curated record.